RNAcentral lists this unclassified non-coding RNA (286 nucleotides) under Hevea brasiliensis (rubber tree). The record is from RNAcentral. Lineage: Eukaryota; Viridiplantae; Streptophyta; Magnoliopsida; Malpighiales; Euphorbiaceae.
GGCCCAUGAACCCACAUGGCUGAAUUCUCGUUCUGUUGAAGAGAGAUCAAAUGGUUGCCAUCCUUAUACUGAGAACUUAAUACAUCAUCAUAGCCAAUAGUUGUGCCUCCAGGAGCAGUGGGGGGAUUCUUUUCAGCAGACCUUUGCUUGUUGAACUCCCAAACCCAUAUGCAGAAGCAACAGCACCAGAUUGAGGCAAGCUGCUUACAGAAACAUUAUUCUUGUAUUGUGGGAGCACUGCUGCAAGGGACUGAUGAUAUGUGCUAUUACCAGCAAAGGUCUGCUG